This is a small nuclear RNA of Suncus etruscus (white-toothed pygmy shrew), 164 nucleotides long. RefSeq annotates it as U1 spliceosomal RNA. NCBI's taxonomy places the organism in Eukaryota, Metazoa, Chordata, Mammalia, Eulipotyphla, Soricidae. The record is from RefSeq and is a predicted model, not a curated record. The transcript has a single exon.
AUGCUUACUGGACAGGGGAGAUACCAUGAUCACAAAGGUGGUUUCCCCAGGGCGAGGCUUAUCCAGUGCACUACGAUGUGCUGGCCCCUGCAAAUUUCCCCAAAUGUGGGAAACUCGACUGCAUAAUUUGUAGUAGUGGGGGACUGAGUUUGCGCUUUCCCCUG